GGAGAGGUAGGAGGAGGGGAGGAGUGAGGAAAAGAGAAGGAGAAGAGGAUGCCUAGGGUUAUCCAUCCAGCCACCUAGCCAUCCACGGAGUAAGAUGGAAAGCAAGAUAUACAGAAUAAAGAGAGGUUUAAAAAAAAGUCCAGAGGCAAAAUGUAGUUAAAGGGAAAUGGGAUAAUUUAAGUUAGAAAAGCUGUCUAGAAACAAGCCAAGCUAAGGCCAGGCAUUCAUAAGUAAGGUCAAGUCUCUGUGUGUUUAUUUUGGGAGCUGGGUGGUAGCUAUAGAGUUAAAAUAAUAAGACCACCUACAGAGGUGUAGAAUGCCAACAGGGUCAAGUACAUCCGAAUGGAUGCGAGGCUGGCAGUGUGCUUCAGGGAUGGGGGUUCAAGGGGCUUCCUCUCCAGAUGCCCCUUAGGAAGGAAUUUCUCAGAAGCCCCAUGGCUGGAGAGAAAGCAUGCCAGGUCCCCUGAUCCUGGUUGUGCAGAGGGUCAGUAGCUCAGUUCCUUUUAGUGGUAAUUUCGGCAUGAGCUUUUGGUAGUGUUCUGGAGCCUUCUGACCUAUGCUUGGUUUCCACGAGACAGGAAAGCUGUGCCUGGUGCUGUACGUCUCCUCUCCUCAGCUCGGUCUCCAGUGUGCUUCCAUGAUGGUAUGGGUUCUCUGUUUCUUCUCAGUUCCAGCUGACAUAUCCUGGCCAUGGUUUGUCGAUGGGAGAUGUUAAUUCUGUAUAUGUUUCUCUUAUUGGCUAACGAAUAAAACACUGAUUGGCCAGGCAGGAAGACAGGCGGGGCUAGGAGAGGAGGAGGAUUCUGGGAAAGGUAGGCAGAGUGAGCCCUCUGGACAAAGUCACGAUGCUGCCUGAGGAGUAACACCAUGCUGGGCAUUACCAGGUAAGCCACAGCCUUGUGGAAAUACAUAGACUGGGUUAAUAAUUGAGACAGAGUCAGCCAAUAAGAAACCCUAGUCAUCGGCUAAUAGCUUCAUAAUUAAUAUAAGUCUCUGAGUGUUCAUUUGGGGCUGAUGAGGCUGUGGGACGAGGCAGGCAGGAAGAACCAACUGUAACAGUUGAUGUUGUAGGAACAGAGUCUCGACUACCUGCUUCCCCUAGUACUUCCCAAAUGAUGGGGGUGGGACAGAGAGGAGACCACAACAGCGGGGUAGUGGAGCAGCUCAGAGUUUGUAAGUACAGGUGAUGGGCCUGCCUUCGGGAUGCCCUGACCCUGUCGGUAGCAGUAGGAGGAGGGUAACAGCUCCUCACUGUUCCUACGGACCAAACACCCAGGUGUACUAGGCAUCUGGUGACCCACUGACAGCCUCAGAGACUGUUCUUGACGGCCCCUCCCUCACCGUCAGCAGCUUGUAGAGCCUAGAACCCCGAACUGCGGGGCUCUGGCAUCUGAUCAAAAGCUGUUCUAGCGAGGCAGGUUAAAGUGGGGGCCCCUCUGGCCACUGUCCAGCCUCGCCCCUUGAGAAUGUUCUGUCCUAAGCCCUGCCUGUAUAGUGGGUGACUCUCCUUGCCUCUCGUCUCAAAGGACCAGGAAGCAAGGGAGGGUUUCCCAAGGAACAGGACAGCCAGCCAGUACCACAGCCCUUGGGUCUGCAGAACCGCAAAAGGCUGUAAAAAACGACCACCAGGCUGACCAGCGGCAAAACCCUAAAAGACAAAAAGAGCAGAUAAAAAAGCCAAAACAACAGAAACCAGUCAAGUACUCAGGACACGAUAAGAGGUGUGGGCUGUCUCUUUAGAGAGAGCCUGGCCACGUGUCCUCCUCGGUGAGAGCAUGGUCACCUGUAUGGAACAUCUUACUCAUGGUCUCCAUUUUUUCUUCUGGGCAUCCCACCGGGUUCUGACUCCCAGCUCACAGACGAGAACAUUACUUCUCACCUGGCUGAGUUACUCAAGAUCUCAACGUGAGGCAAGGUUUUAUUCAAGCUUCAACCGAGGAAAAUGGGGUCUCCCAUAGCCGCCCCCACCAUGUUGGAAGAGUAAAGAAUCAAGUUUCGUGGGAUGUAAGGCUUCCCUGUGGGCCUGGUAGAGUUCUUAUCUGUAAGUCCGUUUCUCUGAUGGCUGGAGCACAGCCUUCUGCACCGUGGCUGUGAAGGCGAGGUUCAUCUUCAAAUCCUCUCAAGCACACAGACUUCCCUGAAGGGAAGGGUUUGUUCUGAACCCCACUUUUAUUGGAUCCAGCCCAUCCAUUGUGAGGCAGCAGGUAAUCCCCGAGUCCCGAGUCUCGGGAGAUGGAGAGGUAAGUGCUUGGAACUCCACCCCCUUACCCGUUGCUCUUUUGACCCAGUCGGCUCCAGGUCAGGGUCUGAUUCUUGGGUCCCUGAAGAGUUAGCAUCAGUGUCAACUUGACAGUCAUGGUUACUGCGUGGGAGACGGGCCUCCUCGGGGCAUGCCGGUUGGUUGCCUUGUGUGUGUGUGUGUGUGCGUGUGUGUGUGUGUGUGUGUGUGUGUGUGUGUGUGUGGUUAUCUUAGUUACCCAGUGGUUGUGACCCUUACGGGCGGGGAUCCUUCCCAGAGGCAGACAUGAGAAGUGACUCAGAGGCCUGUGCCUGCCCGCCUGCCCCCUGAGGGUGGCUGUGAUGUCUCUAAUCUUCACACUCCUGUUGCCUAGACUUCCCUUAUAGGGGACAGCGCCUUGAACACUGUGAGUCGAAAUGACGUCUUAUCACAGUAAAAGAGAAGACACGACGGCCGUAUCCCAGAGCCAGUGUUUGCUGCUGGAGUGUGACCCCACGGGACCUCACAGGCAGUUUCCAGCCAAGGAUCAGGAGGUGGGCGCUGGUGACUGCCCUCAGCUCUGAACAGGGAGGGACAAAGCAAUUCUGAGUGCAGACUUUGGAGUCGGGCAGGGACAGGUUUGCUUCCUGCCUCCCUGGCUGAUGAGUGGAGGCCUUCCUCGGAGUCUUCUGCUGCUCAUCGGUCUCCCAGGAACGACAAAGCCGCGGGUCGGUGGCCUUCAGCGGACUCUGGUGGCUCAGAUGCUCCGGACAGUGUGGAUAUUGUUUCUAUUAUUCUUACCGUGGUUACUUUUAUUAAGAACUUGCUGUUCUGCCAAUGUCCUCUCCCAUCCCCCUGGCCUAGGAGGAGUAGCCCUUCAGCAAGCGCUAUUCAAGGGAUGCAGGCUCCCAUUCUCCUCUGUUCACUUUCAAUUGCCUUUUAAUGGGGGAGAGAUAAAGUGAAAUUACAGCCUUGGGUAGCAGCCUGCCUGGGCAGCUGGAACGCUCUGGCCCUGUAUCAUAUACUAUAGCUGUGUUUAUGGUCCCCAGAGCAAAGACAGGGCGCAAAUCAGACCCUUUAUUGCUUCUGCAAGCUCAGCGAGGAGAGCAAUCCAACGGGGAGAGAGGCAGAGGCCCUGGCUAUAGCAUAACACUUUGCUCCCGGGGACUCUGCGGAUCAGAGUGGGCUCUCCAGUGACAUUGGCUCACACAAACAAUAAAUGACGGCCAACCUGUGAA
This is a long non-coding RNA of Mesocricetus auratus (golden hamster), 3456 nucleotides long. RefSeq lists it as uncharacterized. The transcript has 2 exons. NCBI's taxonomy places the organism in Eukaryota, Metazoa, Chordata, Mammalia, Rodentia, Cricetidae. The record is from RefSeq and is a predicted model, not a curated record.